RNAcentral lists this ribosomal RNA (272 nucleotides) under uncultured bacterium. Its description in RNAcentral is "partial 16S ribosomal RNA". It matches the Rfam family "Bacterial small subunit ribosomal RNA", at positions 793 to 1055 of the family's 1533-position model. The record is from RNAcentral.
GUCCUAGCCGUAAACGAUGGGCACUGGGUAGGGGGAAGCCUAUGCUCUUCCCUGCCGAAGCAAAUGUAUUAAGUGCCCCGCCUGGGGAGUACGCUCGCAAGGGUAAAACUCAAAGGAAUUGACGGGGGCUCACACAAGCGGUGGAGCAUGUGGUUUAAUUCGAAGCAACGCGAAGAACCUUACCUGGCCUUGACAUCCAUGGAUUAGUUCCACGAAAGUGGGAGUACUGCUCUUCGGAGCCGGAACAUGGACAGGUGUUGCAUGGCUGUCGU